RNAcentral lists this ribosomal RNA (468 nucleotides) under uncultured bacterium. RNAcentral describes it as "partial 16S ribosomal RNA". It matches the Rfam family "Bacterial small subunit ribosomal RNA", at positions 28 to 507 of the family's 1533-position model. The record is from RNAcentral.
GACGAACGCUGGCGGCGUGCUUAACACAUGCAAGUCGAACGGAAAGGCCCUGCUUUUGUGGGGUGCUCGAGUGGCGAACGGGUGAGUAACACGUGAGUAACCUGCCCUUGACUUUAGGAUAACUUCAGGAAACUGGGGCUAAUACCGGAUAGGAGCUCCUGCUGCAUGGUGGGGGUUGGAAAGUUUCGGCGGUUGGGGAUGGACUCGCGGCUUAUCAGCUUGUUGGUGGGGUAGUGGCUUACCAAGGCUUUGACGGGUAGCCGGCCUGAGAGGGUGACCGGCCACAUUGGGACUGAGAUACGGCCCAGACUCCUACGGGAGGCAGCAGUGGGGAAUAUUGCACAAUGGGCGGAAGCCUGAUGCAGCAACGCCGCGGGCGGGAUGACGGCCUUCGGGUUGUAAACCGCUUUCGCCUGUGACGAAGCGUGAGUGAAGGUAAUGGGUAAAGAAGCACCGGCUAACUACGUG